This 433-nucleotide ribosomal RNA is filed under the name uncultured bacterium. RNAcentral describes it as "partial 16S ribosomal RNA". It matches the Rfam family "Bacterial small subunit ribosomal RNA", at positions 29 to 507 of the family's 1533-position model. The record is from RNAcentral.
AACGAACGCUGGCGGCAUGCCUAACACAUGCAAGUCGAACGAGACCUUCGGGUCUAGUGGCGCACGGGUGCGUAACGCGUGGGAACCUGCCCUUAGGUUCGGAAUAACUCCCCGAAAGGGGUGCUAAUACCGGAUAAUGUCUUCGGACCAAAGAUUUAUCGCCUUUGGAUGGGCCCGCGUUGGAUUAGCUAGUUGGUAGGGUAAAAGCCUACCAAAGCGACGAUCCAUAGCUGGUCUGAGAGGAUGAUCAGCCACACUGGGACUGAUACACGGCCCAGACUCCUACGGGAGGCAGCAGUGGGGAAUAUUGGACAAUGGGCGAAAGCCUGAUCCAGCAAUGCCGCGUGAGUGAUGAAGGCCUUAGGGUUGUAAAGCUCUUUUACCCGGGAUGAUAAUGACAGUACCGGGAGAAUAAGCUCCGGCUAACUCCGUG